This 450-nucleotide ribosomal RNA is filed under the name uncultured bacterium. RNAcentral's name for it is "bacterial SSU rRNA". It matches the Rfam family "Bacterial small subunit ribosomal RNA", at positions 355 to 825 of the family's 1533-position model. The record is from RNAcentral.
UGGGGAAUAUUGGACAAUGGGCGAAAGCCUGAUGGAGCGACGUCGCGUGAUGGACGAAGUGCUUCGGCACGUAAACAUCUUUUAUGUGGGAUGAAAUUAUUGACAGUACCACAUGAAUAAGGGGCUCCUAACUCUGUGCCAGCAGGAGCGGUAAUACAGAGGCCCCAAGCGUUAUCCGGAAUCACUGGGCGUAAAGGGUGUCGAGGCGGUUGUAUUAGUCGUUCGUAAAAUCUACGAGCUUAACUUGUAGGCGGCGAACGAAACGGUACGACUUGAGGUUUGGAGAGGUGCGUGGAACUCACGGUGUAGGGGUGAAAUCCGUUGAUAUCGUGGGGAACACCAAAGGCGAAGGCAGCGCACUGGCCAAAAUCUGACGCUCACACACGAAAGCUAGGGUAGCGAAGAGGAUUAGAUACCCAGGUAGUCCCUGAGCGGGCUGGCAAGGCGCAU